Molecule: ribosomal RNA, 937 nt
Filed under: uncultured bacterium
Lineage: Bacteria
Description: bacterial SSU rRNA
Rfam family: Bacterial small subunit ribosomal RNA
Source: RNAcentral
ACUCCUUUUAUAAGGGAAGAUAAUGACGGUACUUUAUGAAUAAGCACCGGCUAACUCCGUGCCAGCAGCCGCGGUAAUACGGAGGGUGCAAGCGUUACUCGGAAUCACUGGGCGUAAAGGAUGCGUAGGCUGUAAUAUAAGUCAGAAGUGAAAUCCAACGGCUUAACCGUUGAACUGCUUUUGAAACUGUUUUACUAGAAUAUGGGAGAGGUAGAUGGAAUUGGUGGUGUAGGGGUAAAAUCCGUAGAUAUCACCAGGAAUACCGAUUGCGAAGGCGAUCUACUGGAACAUUAUUGACGCUGAGGCAUGAAAGCGUGGGGAGCGAACAGGAUUAGAUACCCUGGUAGUCCACGCCCUAAACGAUGCACACUAGUUGUUGCGAUGCUAGUCAUUGCAGUAAUGCACUUAACAGAUUAAGUGUGCCGCCUGGGGAGUACGGUCGCAAGAUUAAAACUCAAAGGAAUAGACGGGGACCCGCACAAGCGGUGGAGCAUGUGGUUUAAUUCGAAGAUACACGAAGAACCUUACCUGGGCUUGAUAUCCUUGGAAUCUUGUAGAGAUACGAGAGUGCUAGUUUACUAGAACCAAGAGACAGGUGCUGCACGGCUGUCGUCAGCUCGUGUCGUGAGAUGUUGGGUUAAGUCCCGCAACGAGCGCAACCCUCGUGAUUAGUUGCUAACAGUUCGGCUGAGCACUCUAAUCAGACUGCCUUCGCAAGGAGGAGGAAGGUGAGGACGACGUCAAGUCAUCAUGGCUUCUUAUGCCUCAGGGCUACACACGUGCUACAAUGGCGCGUACAAAGAGAGGCGAUACCGCGAGGUGGAGCAAAUCUUAAAAACGCGUCUCAGUUCGGAUUGGAGUCUGCAACUCGACUCCAUGAAGCUGGGAAUCGCUAGUAAUCGUAGAUCAGAUAUGCUACGGUGAAUACGUUCCCGGG